RNAcentral lists this ribosomal RNA (433 nucleotides) under uncultured bacterium. Its description in RNAcentral is "partial 16S ribosomal RNA". It matches the Rfam family "Bacterial small subunit ribosomal RNA", at positions 29 to 507 of the family's 1533-position model. The record is from RNAcentral.
AACGAACGCUGGCGGCAUGCCUAACACAUGCAAGUCGAACGAGACCUUCGGGUCUAGUGGCGCACGGGUGCGUAACGCGUGGGAACCUGCCUUUAGGUUCGGAAUAACUCAGAGAAAUUUGAGCUAAUACCGGAUGAUGUCUUCGGACCAAAGAUUUAUCGCCUUUGGAUGGGCCCGCGUUGGAUUAGCUAGUUGGUUGGGUAAAGGCCUACCAAGGCGACGAUCCAUAGCUGGUCUGAGAGGAUGAUCAGCCACACUGAGACUGAGACACGGCCCAGACUCCUACGGGAGGCAGCAGUGGGGAAUAUUGGACAAUGGGCGAAAGCCUGAUCCAGCAAUGCCGGGUGAGUGAUGAAGGCCUUAGGGUUGUAAAGCUCUUUUACCCGAGAUGAUAAUGACAGUAUCGGGAGAAUAAGCUCCGGCUAACUCCGUG